CAAAGCAACUGGUUGAACUGGUGAAGUUAACAGGGCAGCAGUUUUCGUCAUCUCAUAUUCUAGAAGUCUACAGGGGCUCCUUAAACCAAUUUGUCAAGAAACACAGGCAUCAGACUGUGAGACUGCAUGGAGCAGGAAAACAUCUAGCCAAGG
Molecule: long non-coding RNA, 153 nt
Organism: Pyrus x bretschneideri (Chinese white pear)
Lineage: Eukaryota; Viridiplantae; Streptophyta; Magnoliopsida; Rosales; Rosaceae
Exons: 3
Source: RefSeq, a predicted model, not a curated record